Molecule: transfer RNA, 73 nt
Filed under: Camelus bactrianus (Bactrian camel)
Lineage: Eukaryota; Metazoa; Chordata; Mammalia; Artiodactyla; Camelidae
Also listed under: 2 other names
Rfam family: tRNA
About the family: Transfer RNA (tRNA) molecules are approximately 80 nucleotides in length. Their secondary structure includes four short double-helical elements and three loops (D, anti-codon, and T loops).
Source: Rfam by way of RNAcentral
AAGGUUGUAGCUCAAGCGGUAGAGCACAUGCUUAGCAUGCACCAGAUCCUGGGUUCAACCCCCAGUAACUUCU